RNAcentral lists this ribosomal RNA (404 nucleotides) under Actinomycetes bacterium. RNAcentral describes it as "Actinobacteria bacterium partial 16S ribosomal RNA". It matches the Rfam family "Bacterial small subunit ribosomal RNA", at positions 355 to 776 of the family's 1533-position model. Lineage: Bacteria; Bacillati; Actinomycetota; Actinomycetes. The record is from RNAcentral.
UGGGGAAUAUUGGACAAUGGGCGCAAGCCUGAUCCAGCCAUGCCGCGUGAGUGAUGAAGGCCCUAGGGUUGUAAAGCUCUUUCACCGGUGAAGAUAAUGACGGUAACCGGAGAAGAAGCCCCGGCUAACUUCGUGCCAGCAGCCGCGGUAAUACGAAGGGGGCUAGCGUUGUUCGGAUUUACUGGGCGUAAAGCGAACGUAGGCGGACUUUUAAGUCAGGGGUGAACUCCCGGGGCUCAACCCCGGAACUGCCUUUGAUACUGGAAGUCUUGAAUAUGGUAGAGGUGAGUGGAAUUCCGAGUGUAGAGGUGAAGUUCGUAGAUAUUCGGAGGAACAACAGUGGCAAAGGCGGCUCACUGGACCAUUACUGACGCUGGGGUGCGAAAGCGUGGAGAGCAAACAGG